This 253-nucleotide ribosomal RNA is filed under the name uncultured bacterium. Its description in RNAcentral is "partial 16S ribosomal RNA". It matches the Rfam family "Bacterial small subunit ribosomal RNA", at positions 524 to 776 of the family's 1533-position model. The record is from RNAcentral.
UACGUAGGUGGCGAGCGUUGUCCGGAUUUACUGGGCGUAAAGGGAGCGUAGGCGGACUUUUAAGUGAGAUGUGAAAUACUCGGGCUCAACUUGAGUGCUGCAUUUCAAACUGGAAGUCUAGAGUGCAGGAGAGGAGAAUGGAAUUCCUAGUGUAGCGGUGAAAUGCGUAGAGGUUAGGAAGAACACCAGUGGCGAAGGCGAUUUUCUGGACUGUAACUGACGCUGAGGCUCGAAAGCGUGGGGAGCAAACAGG